AACGAACGCUGGCGGCAGGCUUAACACAUGCAAGUCGAACGGGCACCUUCGGGUGUCAGUGGCAGACGGGUGAGUAACGCGUGGGAACGUACCUUUCGGUUCGGAAUAACCCAGGGAAACUUGGGCUAAUACCGGAUAACGCCGGGUAACGGGAAAGAUUUAUCGCCGAAAGAUCGGCCCGCGUCGGAUUAGCUAGGUUGGUGAGGUAACGGCCCACCAAGGCGACGAUCCGUAGCUGGUCUGAGAGGAUGAUCAGCCACACUGGGACUGAGACACGGCCCAGACUCCUACGGGAGGCAGCAGUGGGGAAUAUUGGACAAUGGGCGAAAGCCUGAUCCAGCCAUGCCGCGUGAGUGAAGAAGGCCUUAGGGUUGU
RNAcentral lists this ribosomal RNA (375 nucleotides) under uncultured bacterium. Its description in RNAcentral is "bacterial SSU rRNA". It matches the Rfam family "Bacterial small subunit ribosomal RNA", at positions 29 to 426 of the family's 1533-position model. The record is from RNAcentral.